UACGUAGGGCGCAAGCGUUAUCCGGAAUUAUUGGGCGUAAAGAGCUCGUAGGCGGUUUGUCGCGUCUGCCGUGAAAGUCCGGGGCUCAACUCCGGAUCUGCGGUGGGUACGGGCAGACUAGAGUGAUGUAGGGGAGACUGGAAUUCCUGGUGUAGCGGUGAAAUGCGCAGAUAUCGGGAGGAACACCGAUGGCGAAGGCAGCACUCUGGGCCGGCACUGACGCUGAGGAGCGAAAGCGUGGGGAGCGAACAGG
This 253-nucleotide ribosomal RNA is filed under the name uncultured bacterium. Its description in RNAcentral is "partial 16S ribosomal RNA". It matches the Rfam family "Bacterial small subunit ribosomal RNA", at positions 524 to 776 of the family's 1533-position model. The record is from RNAcentral.